AUGCAGUCGAGCGGAAGGCCCUUCGGGGUACUCGAGCGGCGAACGGGUGAGUAACACGUGAGCAACCUGCCCCAGGCUUUGGGAUAACCCCGGGAAACCGGGGCUAAUACCGAAUAUGACCUCUGACCGCAUGGUUGGUGGUGGAAAGUUUUUCGGCUUGGGAUGGGCUCGCGGCUUAUCAGCUUGUUGGUGGGGUGAUGGCCUACCAAGGCGACGACGGGUAGCCGGCCUGAGAGGGCGACCGGCCACACUGGGACUGAGACACGGCCCAGACUCCUACGGGAGGCAGCAGUGGGGAAUAUUGCACAAUGGGCGGAAGCCUGAUGCAGCGACGCCGCGUGAGGGAUGACGGCCUUCGGGUUGUAAACCUCUUUCAGCAGGGACGAAGCGUAAGUGACGGUACCUGCAGAAGAAGCGCCGGCCAACUACGUGCCAGCAGCCGCGGUAAGACGUAGGGCGCGAGCGUUGUCCGGAUUUAUUGGGCGUAAAGAGCUCGUAGGCGGCUUGUCGCGUCGACCGUGAAAACUUGGGGCUCAACCCCAAGCCUGCGGUCGAUACGGGCAGGCUAGAGUUCGGUAGGGGAGACUGGAAUUCCUGGUGUAGCGGUGAAAUGC
Molecule: ribosomal RNA, 614 nt
Filed under: uncultured Micromonospora sp.
Lineage: Bacteria; Bacillati; Actinomycetota; Actinomycetes; Micromonosporales; Micromonosporaceae
Description: bacterial SSU rRNA
Rfam family: Bacterial small subunit ribosomal RNA
Source: RNAcentral